UUGGAAGUUUGAGAGGAGCUGUCCUUAGUACGAGAGGACCGGGAUGGACACACCACUGGUGUACCAGUUGUUCCGCCAGGAGCAUAGCUGGGUAGCUACGUGUGGCACGGAUAAGUGCUGAAAGCAUCUAAGCACGAAACCCGCCUCAAGAUGAGACUUCCCAUCAUUUUAAAUGAGUAAGAUCCCUUACGAGACGAUAAGGUUGAUAGGUUCGAGGUAGAAGCGUAGUGAUACGUGAAGCUGACGAAUACUAAUAGAUCGAGGACUUAACUAA
RNAcentral lists this ribosomal RNA (274 nucleotides) under Pseudogracilibacillus auburnensis. RNAcentral describes it as "partial 23S ribosomal RNA". It matches the Rfam family "Bacterial large subunit ribosomal RNA", at positions 2654 to 2925 of the family's 2925-position model. The record is from RNAcentral. Lineage: Bacteria; Bacillati; Bacillota; Bacilli; Caryophanales; Bacillaceae.